GCCAGGUUUAGUGGCACACACCUGUAAUCCCAGCAGCUUGGGAGGCUGAGGCAGGAGGAUUGCAAGUUCAAAGCCAGCCCCAGCAAAAGGGAGGCACUAAGCAACUCAGUGAGAACCUGUCUCUA
This 125-nucleotide small RNA is filed under the name Marmota monax (woodchuck). Lineage: Eukaryota; Metazoa; Chordata; Mammalia; Rodentia; Sciuridae. The record is from RNAcentral.